This 66-nucleotide transfer RNA is filed under the name Lumbriculus variegatus. RNAcentral describes it as "tRNA-Ser". The record is from RNAcentral. Lineage: Eukaryota; Metazoa; Annelida; Clitellata; Lumbriculida; Lumbriculidae.
AACCACCUUUAGGGUAAUAAAUGAUUUUGAACAUCAUGAAAAGGUGUUCGACUCACCUGGUGGUUU